UACUCCAUCCGUGGCCUUUCGGCUUUAGGCUCCCCCCAGUGUCACGGGCAUCCAGACAGGAUCCAGUGCAUCCUCUUUCAGAAGAAAGGCCUGUCUCCAGAUCCCCAAGUCCCUCUAGCGUCUCCCAGAAGGUGUCAGACGCUGCAGUGUCCAGGGAGUGGCAGCAGGUCCUUAUCAUUGUCCAAGGGUCCCUCCCAGCCUCCAAGUCUCACCCCAUCCAUGAAAAAAGGUGACCCCGGUUUCCCGCCACCUCCUCCACAGCACCAUCUCUUUGAAGGUUUCCUCCUGUUUUUGUUUUUGUUGUUGUUGUUGUUUUUGAGACAGUGUCUCGCUCUGCUGCCCAGGCUG
This 348-nucleotide small RNA is filed under the name Pongo abelii (Sumatran orangutan). RNAcentral's name for it is "retained intron". The record is from RNAcentral. Lineage: Eukaryota; Metazoa; Chordata; Mammalia; Primates; Hominidae.